This 6549-nucleotide long non-coding RNA is filed under the name Jatropha curcas. RNAcentral describes it as "long non-coding RNA (JCUR_LNC001472)". Lineage: Eukaryota; Viridiplantae; Streptophyta; Magnoliopsida; Malpighiales; Euphorbiaceae. The record is from RNAcentral.
CGAAUCAACGCAUUGGCGACUGUAGACUUGUACAUUCAGGCGGACCUUAUGGCGAGAACCUAGCGGGGAGCAGCGGUGACCUUUCAGGAACCACCGCUGUGGAACUGUGGGUUGAUGAAAAAGCGUUUUAUGACUAUAACUCUAGUAGUUGUGCUGCCGGAAUGGUGUGUGGGCAUUACACUCAGGUGGUUUGGUCUUACUCAGUUCGCAUAGGAUGUGCUAAGGUGAAGUGCAACAAUGGAGGAGCUUUCAUUUCUUGCAACUAUGACCCUCCUGGCAACAUCAUUGGACAGCGUCCUGGCAAUUACUUGCAACGCUCAGGGUUUUUUUUUUUACCCGAAAAGUUCUGCUUCUAUCACUUCUCUAAUUUUAGUAUUAAUUCAUAAAAUAGAUAAAUGUACAAAAAUUCAUUUGUAUUUAUCUGUUAUUGAACUCCACAGUUAUAGAACUUAUGUACCUUUAGCGGUGUGUUAUUAUAGAUGUAAUAAUUUUAUGGACCCACUUUAUAAACGUAAUGUAUUACAAAUUGGGCCCGGUCUAUGAAAUAUUUAAAUGUGUUAAAUUGGGGCCAAAGAAUAAUAUACUUAUGAGAUAGUUAAAUUUUUGUGAUUUAUGCUUACUAUAGGCCUCGGUAGCCUUAAACUUACCUAGGUCCUAGUGUCGGUCCGGCCUCUGGAAACGGAUCGUGACAAAUAUUUUUUAAAAAGUAAAUUUUCAAAAAUUUUAAUUUAAAAAAUAUUUUAAAUUAAAAUAUUUAAAAUUUUAAUUUAAAAAAUAAUAUUUUAUUAAUAUAUUUAAACUAUUCCAUCGAAUAUUGGUAUUCUCCUUCCUAAACUUCAGCAAAUACGAAUAUGGGGAAACAAUUUUAGCGGUUGGAUUCCUGUUUCGUUAUCAAAUGCUACGAGAAUUGAGCACAUCGAUUUAGCACGUAAUAGUUUCACAUAUCAACUUUCGAAGCCUAAACAAACUUUCUUUUCUGAGCUUGGAAGAAAAUAAUCUUGGGACCAAAGAAGGUGAUAAUUUUUGAAUUUUAUUACUUCUUUGCUCAGUUGUAGCUAUCUGAGAACUUUGGAUUUGUGUGUCAAUAGGCUAAAGGGGGUUUUGCCAAAUUCGAAAGCUAAUCUAUCUUCAUCUCUCUAAUUUCUGGGAAUUGGGCAUAAUCAAGUAUAUGGAUGCCUUCCAGAAUGGUUUUGUGCUCUUGUUAGCUUAACAACAGUGGGUAUACAAGCUAACCAAAUGUGUAGAAGUAAAUUGAAUAGAGAAUAAAGAAUUGCUAAACAUUCCAAUUUAAAACUCUUUCUUCAUUAUUUUUAAUUCAAAAAAAAAAACAUAAUCAUGAAUUUGGAUAAAAAACUAUUGACCCAAAGACUCAAAAACUAUAGAAUUAAUGCAUACCGACCACAGUCCACUGUACCCAGAGACUCUCAUAAUUAGAUGAAAAUAUUUCAACUUUCCUGGAAAUUUCCAAUUAAAGGAAAUCAUUUAUCUUUAGAUAAGACAAAAAUUUGGGUUUCUACCUUCUCAAUAAAUCAUUUUCAAAAGAAAAAAGAAAAAAAAAGCUAGCUUUUGCUUUAUAGACUUUGCAAGUCAAGUCUUAGCACUAAUAGUCAAAUUCAUAUUUCUAUCGGUCGGUCAUCUUGCAUACAGAAAUUACCACAUCUCUUUCUUUUUCUUUUUGCUUUUUCUAGGGGAAGAGAUGACUAUGUCUCCUUGAUAUCAAAUUGACCAACAAAUUCAUUAAGCGUUUAAUUUGUAGAAUUAGCAAAGGUUGAGUAUGAUAUUUCAACAUAUUAAAUAGGAAUCAUUGCAAAUAAAUCAAAUAAAAUUCAGUGUUUCUAUAGUCAAAUUUUAAAAUUUAGCACCAUGUAGUAUAUAGUGUUGCACAUGCAUAUUUCUCAUUAUAGGGAUUAUGUUUCUCGUUAAAAAAUUUUAACGAAAGAGUUUGAACAUGAGACUUCUCACUUCUCACAUAAAUAAGAAAAUCAAUCAAACCACCACGUAAUUAGUAUUAUCUCAUUUUCUUUGUUCAAUUUAAUUAAAUAUUUUGUAUAAAUAUUAACUUACACGCAUUGUAUAAAUUUAUUGUGCAUAAAGACGGUAGCUUGUAUUGUUGUCCCUCUUGAAGUUUCUUUUGAGAUUCAGAGGACAAGUUGAUUUGGUUUAAUAUUUAAAUGACUAUGUUUUUUAAUCCAUGCUAUAAAACUAAUGAGUUUUUUUUUAAAAAAAAUAUGGUGGAUUAUUUAAGGUAAACAUAAUAGAUUCAAGAAAUGCAUAUGGGCCAAGUGGGAGACUGUUGGAUUAUUUAAUAAUUUGUAUGUGGCCCAUGUGAUUAAAGGGCUGAUUCUAAUUAAGGUGGUCUAAGAUGAUGGUUAUUGGGCUUAAUGGAUAAGAGCUAGUCAGGGUUUUAAUACUCUUCCUCUGCCUUAUAAAAUAUAAAGGAAUCAACAGAUUAGGUUAACACAGAAACAAGAGAGUGUGACGGCUCCCUCAAACACAUACGGAAAUAGUUUGUUUGAGUGAGCUCAUAAAAGAAACUCCCGCAGCUGUUGAUUAUUCUCUGACCAUUAAGAGAGCACUUACGGACAAGGCCAGAGUGAAGAAACGUAGAUCUGCUGUUACGGUGAGAAUCGACUUGCAACAAACGAGAUAACCCAUAACAUAGAUCUGCCGUUAUGGACCAAGGUACGCUUCCGAUUAUUGUAUAUUCUUGUCAAACAAAUUCUAUAAACAAUAGAUCUGGGCUAUAUUAAAGAUUAUUUAACAACUCUAUGUAGAUCAAUUGUCACUAUUUUACUUAUUGGGUGUUUAAGUUUAGUGUAAAUAAAUCUUUCCCUUUUAUCUUAUAUGCUUAAUGGUUUGGCUAGUGGUUAAUAUACUAGCAAAGCUUAGUCUAGUUAAAGAUCAAUGGGGUUACUAUUUUUUUCUUUUGAUCAGCAACAAAAAAAUUUUUUUAUUAGAAUUAAAAAUAAAAUGAAAAGUUUAGCAUUUUAUUAGGAUAUUACGUUUGAUACAAGUCGCUAGAUUCAAAGUCUAGAGUGCUAAACACUUCACCAUAGAACCUUUCAGUAGGGUUACUAUUUACCACCAUAGGCAACUUUAUACUUGGACUAAAGAAACACAAACGAUAAAAAAUUUUCAUUUGUUAUAUAGAAGCCAUAAGUGAAUUUUAAUCGAUUAGAUUAAAAUCAAAUCCAUUUAUCAAUAGAUCUAACCUUUAAAAAUUAUAUACAACUAGUGAAUUAAUCAACUGACUCUUACCGAUUGGACCAGUUUAAUCACUUUAGUCAUUUCCACUCAGACUAAUUCCUGUUGGUAAUUUCUUUUACCUUUUUAAUUACUCGAGAGGGAAAUUCGAGACUCAAUCUAUAUUUUAAGAAUACACCAAACCAAUAAAAAAAUGGCAUUAUUAUUAUUAUUUAAAUUUUUAAUUCCAAAAAGACAAACAUCUCCUUUUCCAUUAAUAUCUGCUCUUAUCUACGUUGUUGUGUGAUGAUUUAUAGUAAGGUUAAUAAAUUGUAGCAGAACAAUAAUGAAAGCAACAAAGAAAAACAAAGAUAAUGCAACAAAACUGGCAUACCAUCUUCGAUUAUAAAAAAAUUUUAAUUUCUCAAAAUAAAACUUUUGAAUCCUGAAUAAGAAUAUAAAAAAAUGAGUCUUUUUUGCAGAUUUGGCAAAUACCCAGACGCAAACUGAAGAGAGUCUGAAGAAACUAAACUGAAACAACACGGAAAAAAUAAGAGAAUAGACAUUUUGAGAUUUACCAAGAUUUGAUUUUAAAAUAAAUCACUCGAAACAAAAUCACCAUGCAGAGCUGAGGUUAGAGGAGGAAGAUAGAAGAUAUAUUUUGGAUUAUUAAUUUUUCUAAUUUUUUGGAAUUAAAAAAUUAAUUAAUGACAUUUAUUCUUCUGGUCUAUGUAGGGCCAUAGAUGGAAUCUAGAUAAGUAUUUUUCUUUUUUAAUUAAUUGAAAGCAAAAUGGAAUAUAUAUAAUAAUGCAAUGCACAACAAUUGCACUACUUGUCGAUCAUUGGUGAAUUGGAAAUAUCUUUACUCCUCUGUUUGACGUUGCAUUUCUUUCUUUUUGCAAGUUUCUAUAUUUUACUAUUUCACAUUCCAGAUUAUGUGAUAUCAUCCACUCAUAAAAUAUAAUUUGAACCAUAAUUAAUUUUAAUUGCUUUACCAUUAAGACCAAGUAAUGUUAGCCACAUCACAAACACAACUUUGUUAAUUAAUUUUUAAAUUUUGAUUUAAUUUUCAUGUCAAACCUAAGUGAGUUAUUUUUAUUUAUGAAUUUUCAGAAAAUAUAGAUGAUUUUUCUUUAAAAGAAAAUCAAACAUCUCAUUGUAAUUAAUAAAUUUGAUGUAUUAAAUUUGGAUCUAAUUUUGAAGUCAAAACUCAUAUGGGUUAUUUCUAUUUAUGAAUUUUCAGAUAAUAUACAUGAUUUUUCUUUAAAAAAAUAAAAAUUAAAUAGAUAGUUGUCAAUCCGGUAUGGUUUUGUUAGUCUUCUUGAUUAUAUGAGGAGUGAAUGUUUUGAGUUUGAAUAUUCUCCACCGCUAGUUUUUACUAAAUUUGAUUAGUCAAUAGGAGGGCUACUUCUAUUGUAUAGACGCAAUGUUAUUUUGGUUCUUUUAGCCUUCCAGUAAAGAAAUAAAUAAUCAAACAUCUAGUUUAAAUUACAAGAAAAUCCCCCUCUGACCUUUCAACCCUUCAUUGGUUAGAUACAAUUUCUUUUUGCUUAUGCUACUAAUUUUAGUUCCGUGUCCAUGCUAUGUAAAGCGACACCGUAAGCACUGACUUUUCUCAAUUAAUUCCUCUACCCAUUACAAGUUUUUACCAAUUUGAAGUCAUCAUCCAUAUCUCUUCCAAUACCAUAUGCCUAUAAAUUCCAAUCUAACAUGUUAACAAUUUUCAUCAAUUGCCUACCCUCUUAUUUUCCAUCACAAACCAAAAAUGUUGUCCAAAAUUUUAUUACCCCUCAUUUGUCUAAUGAGUGUAACCUUAAUUAUUCCCUUGCAUGCCCGAGACUCACCUCAAGACUACGUUAAUGCCCAUAACACAGCUCGAGCGGCCGUGGGAGUUGGUCCGGUGACUUGGGAUAGCACGGUGGCGGCCUAUGCACGAAAUUACGCGAAUCAACACAUUGGCGACUGUAGACUUGUACAUUCAGGCGGACCUUAUGGCGAGAACCUAGCGGGGGGCAGCGGGGGCCUUUCAGGAACCGCGGCUGUGAAACUGUGGGUUGAUCAAAAGGCGUUUUAUGACAAUAACUCUAGUAGUUGUGCUGCCGGAAAGGUGUGUGGGCAUUACACUCAGGUGGUUUGGCGUAACUCAGUUCACAUAGGAUGUGCUAAGGUGAAGUGCAACAAUGGAGGAACUUUCAUUACCUGCAACUAUGACCCUCCUGGCAACUACGUUGGACAGCGUCCUUAUUAGAUUGAAGUAUUACCUCAAAGUUUUAACUUUUUAUGAAUAAAUUAUAUAUCAUAUAAUGAAAUAAGAAACAUUGUAAAGGGUUGAGAUUUCCUAUGGAAUGGAACUCUGCUGUUGUAGAACUUAUGUACCUUAACUAUUCCGUUGCAUGCCCUAGACUCACCUCAAGACUACGUUAAUGCCCAUAACACAGCUCGAGCGGCCGUGGGAGUUGGUCCGGUGACUUGGGAUAACACGGUGGCAGCCUAUGCACGAAAUUAUGCGAAUCAACACAUUGGCGACUGUAGACUUGUACAUUCAGCCGGACCUUAUGGCGAGAACCUAGCGUGGAGCAGUGGUGACCUAUCAGGAAUCGAUGCUGUGAAACUGUGGGUUGAUGAAAAGGCGUUUUACGACUAUAACUCUAGUAGUUGUGCUACCGGAAAGGUGUGUAGGCAUUACACUCAGGUGGUUUGGUGUAACUCAGUUCGCAUAGGAUGUGCUAAGGCGAAGUGCAACAAUGGAGGAACUUUCAUUACUUGCAACUAUGACCCUCCUGGCAAUUACUUGCAAGACUCAGGUUUUUUUUUUACCCGAAAAGCUUUGCUUCUAUCACGACAGAGCAAGAAAAGAAUUCUCUAAUUUUAGUAUUAAUUCAUAAAAUAGAUAAAUGUACAAAAAUUUAUUUUUAUUUAUCUGUUAGUGAACUCCGUCGUUGUAGAACUUAUGUACCUUAACUAUUCCCUUGCAUGCCCAAGACUCACCUCAAGACUACGUUAAUGCCCAUAACACAGCUCGAGCGGCCGUGGGAGUUGGUCCGGUGACUUGGGAUAACACGGUGGCGGCCUAUGCACGAAAUUAUGCGAAUCAACAUAUGGGCGACUGUAGACUUGUACAUUCAGCCGGACCUUAUGGGGAGAACCUAGCGUGGAGCAGCAGUGACCUAUCAGGAAUCGAUGCUGUGAAACUGUGGGUUGAUGAAAAGGCAUUUUACGACUAUAACUCUAGUAGUUGUGUUGCCAGAAAGGUGUGUGGGCAUUACACUCAGGUGGUUUGGCGUAACUCAGUGCGCAUAGGAGGUGCUAAGGGGAAGUGCAACAAUGGAGGAACUUUCAUUACUUGCAACUAUGACCCUCCUGGCA